CCCCAAGCCACAAGGCCCAUAGUGGAGACGGCGGCCGCGAAGGUUCAAGACAGGCGACGGAAGGUGUUCCAGAAUCCAGUGCAGAUUGCAAACUUGACCUGGAGUCAUGUUCAAUCCCUGGCACAUCACAAUUUCUGCUCUGUUUAUUGGAACCACUCUUCUUAUGUUGAGGACUUGACGUAGGCACAGGCACCACGAGAGGAGAUUCAGGCAAAAUGUCCGCUAGUUGAGCAAGAGGAUCAAUUACCCACCCCAGAGAGUGUACAGGCAAAGGACGUCAUAUGAAAUGAUGUCAUAGGAGCUGCAUGUCAGGAGACUAUGCUUCAGUAAGGAAGCGAUGGGAUGCCUCUGUGAAAUGUUGAAGGAAGAUAUGAAACCAAACUCAAAAUGCCGCACUGCCUUAACAGUAGAGAUUAAACUCACAACCUCAAUUUCGUUGCAUCUGGGUCUUUUCAACACGACCUUAAUGACAUGUAUAACAUUUCACCUGGUCGCUACUGCUUUUGGACAUUGUGUUACGACCAGUCUCGGGUGAGGCCCCCCAAUUUAUAAUGAUCCCGGACGAGAUAUCCCAAAUUGUUAUGCUCCUGGGUGAGGAGGAAUGAAUGGGCUCCCCUUCUUUAUUCAACCCCUUAGUUGGUCACAACAAUGUUAAUUUAAAAGGGAUUCCUUCCCUUGUGGAUACCUUUUCCCAGUCCAAAAGUAUUUAUGUUUCAAAAAGAGCCAAUUUAUCCAGGCUGUCUUGAAUCAAAGAAAGACUGAGUUUAUUAGUUAUUAAAUGUGAGAAAAAAUAAAAGUGCAAAACACAUACGCACAAGUUAGAAAUGAGAAAAUUGAGUCCAAAAAUAAAAGUUAGAAAGAUAUACAAAUCAGUCCUUGGGCUUGUCUGUGAGGAGUAAGUGGUGAAACAUUGUGCCAUUACAUUGGGAUAAUUCCGGUAGCGCUGACUUUGCCAGUUGAGCAGUUAGUUUUAAAAAUUCUUGUUUCUGCAGGUUAGCUGAAAUGAGUUGCCCUGUUUCCUUUUCAACUGUGGCUUUGCUGACUUGUGACUUGCUUCCAGCAAUCAGAGAGAGUUUUUAUUACCUGCAAGUGCAGGGAUACCCAGUUGGUGUUCUUCAGCUGUGACCUUCACAGCACACACACGCCAGAACAGAACACCCGACUAGCACACAAAACUAGGGUUGCAGUUGGCUUUUUUAAACUACUUUCCUUGUGUAUCCCUGGAAGGGAGAAAACAAACAUGUCUUUCGCCCAGAACCGUUUUCUUUUCAACUCAAUUCAUGUUCACAGUCUGGGAUGUAACUCAACAGGAGGUGAUUUCAGCUGAGAUGGUAAUCAUUUUCCAUUAUCUCUGCGACCACAGGAGAUUACAGUUCAGCUGGCAUUGUAUCUUUUUCUUUGAAGUCCCUCUGUCUGAAGUAGGCCAUGUCACGCAUUUUAGGUAUGACAUUCCAUUCUCUCUGAACUAGUUGGUCAAGUAAUCCAUAGGAAUUUUAUGGCAAGUGGUUGCCUUACAGCCUCAGCCAGCUUUUGCUUGUGGGUCCUUUUUUUAAAAAACACAUCUCACUUAAAAGCUCAAUGUGCCCAUAAGUAAUUCAGGAAUAGAAUCCAUGGUCAUGACAAUUGAGCUUUGAAAAUUCACAAUGUAAAUUCCCUCCCUCCUUUCUCCCUUCUUCCUUCUCUCUUUCCCUUCCUUCCAAAAUAAAACAAGAGAACUGUUGUGGUAAAGUUGAAAAAAUGCUUCAUUUUGUUUCUAAAAAUGUGAAAAAAGAUGAGGUAGUUAUUGUUCAAAAUUUAUUAGUGCCGCUGCUUAAGUUAAAGGUUACUGUUGUCAAAAAUUUAAGAUUUUGUAUCUCUUACAUUAUUUUUGUGAAUAAAUGUUUUUCAUAAAAUCUUA
Long non-coding RNA from Carcharodon carcharias (great white shark), 1897 nucleotides. RefSeq lists it as uncharacterized. The record is from RefSeq and is a predicted model, not a curated record. The transcript has 2 exons. NCBI's taxonomy places the organism in Eukaryota, Metazoa, Chordata, Chondrichthyes, Lamniformes, Lamnidae.